UACGGGGGGAGCAAGCGUUGUUCGGAUUUACUGGGCGUAAAGGGCGCGUAGGCGGCCACCGCAAGUCAAUUGUGAAAUCUCCGGGCUUAACUCGGAAAGGUCAACUGAUACUGCGGGGCUAGAGUGCGGAAGGGGCAACUGGGAUUCUCGGUGUAGCGGUGAAAUGCGUAGAUAUCGAGAGGAACACCUGCGGCGAAGGCAGGUCUCUGGGCCACUACUGACGCUGAGAAGCGAAAGCAUGGGGAGCGAACAGG
RNAcentral lists this ribosomal RNA (254 nucleotides) under uncultured bacterium. Its description in RNAcentral is "partial 16S ribosomal RNA". It matches the Rfam family "Bacterial small subunit ribosomal RNA", at positions 524 to 776 of the family's 1533-position model. The record is from RNAcentral.